GCCGAGAUGGCUCAGUUGGUGGAGCGUGAGGCUCCGAAUCUCAGGGUCGUGGGUUCGAGCCCCACUUUGGGCA
Molecule: non-coding RNA, 73 nt
Organism: Lacerta agilis (Sand lizard)
Lineage: Eukaryota; Metazoa; Chordata; Lepidosauria; Squamata; Lacertidae
Source: the annotation of a RefSeq genome assembly